This 253-nucleotide ribosomal RNA is filed under the name uncultured bacterium. RNAcentral describes it as "partial 16S ribosomal RNA". It matches the Rfam family "Bacterial small subunit ribosomal RNA", at positions 524 to 776 of the family's 1533-position model. The record is from RNAcentral.
UACGUAGGGGGCAAGCGUUGUCCGGAUUUAUUGGGCGUAAAGCGCGUGUAGGCGGUCCGGUAAGUCCGCUGUGAAAGUCGGGGGCUCAACCCUCGGAUGCCGGUGGAUACUGUCGGGCUUGAGUACGGAAGAGGCGGGUGGAAUUCCUGGUGUAGCGGUGAAAUGCGCAGAUAUCAGGAGGAACACCAAUUGCGAAGGCAGCUCGCUGGGACGUUACUGACGCUGAGACGCGAAAGCGUGGGGAGCGAACAGG